This 743-nucleotide long non-coding RNA is filed under the name Mytilus galloprovincialis (Mediterranean mussel). Lineage: Eukaryota; Metazoa; Mollusca; Bivalvia; Mytilida; Mytilidae. The record is from RNAcentral.
CCUGUCAGAUUUGCUCUAAAUGCUUUGGUUUUUGAGUUACAAGCCAAAAACUGCAUUUUACCCCUAUGUUCUAUUUUUAGCCAUGGUGGCCAUCUUGGUUGGUUGGCCGGGUCACGCCACACAUUUUUUAAACUAGAUACCCCAAUGAUGAUUAUGGCCAAGUUUGGAUUAAUUUGUCCCAGUAGUUUCAGAAGAGAAGAUUUUUGUAAAAGAUAACUAAGAUUUACGAAAAAUGGUUAAAAAUGGACUAAAAAGGGCAAUAACUCCUAAAGGGGUCAACUGACCAUUUCGGUCAAGUUGACUUAUUUGUAUAUCUUACUUUGCUGAACAUUAUUGCUGUUUACAGUUUAUCUCUAUCUAUAAUAAUAUUCAAGAUAAUAACCAUAUAACCAAAAACAGCAAAAUUUCCUUAAAAUUAUCAAUUCAGGGGCAGCAACCCAACAACGGGUUGUCCGAUUCAUCUGAAAAUUUCAGGGCAGAUAGAUCUUGACCUAAUAAACAAUUUUACCCAUGUCAGAUUUGCUCUAAAUGCUUUGGUUUUUGAGUUACAAGCCAAAAACUGCAUUUUACCCCUAUGUUCUAUUUUUAGCCAUGGCGGCCAUCUUGGUUGGUUGGCCGGGUCACGCCACACAUUUUUUUAACUAAAUACCCCAAUGAUGAUUGUGGCCAAGUUUGGUUUAAUUUGGCCCAGUAGUUUCAGAGGAGAAGAUUUUUGUAAAAGUUAACGACGACGGACGACGACG